AUUCUGAAAUAAUGAGUAUUAAUUUUUAACGAAUUUUAUAAAAUAACAAACAUUCUUUUAUUUAAUACCAACAAGAAAUUUUUAUGCUUUUCAUCUACAGGGUGUCCAGCGAAUAGUCAAACAGUGGAUUUAUUGGGAAAUCUGUAAAAAUUGCAUACAGAAAUAUUAGACAUCAGUAACAAAAGUCUACAGCAGAUGGCACCAAAGCUGCACUUAAGGAAGGGAGAGAUUCUCAAUAAGUUUAGAUUUAUUAUAGGUUUUCCCUGUUCUUCUUGACUCAUGGCAGCCCUGGUGCAUAGAAAGCCGGAGAAAAAAAAAUCUGCCAUAGGAUCACAAAAUCAAGGGGCACCUAAAACCAACUAGUAACUCUACUUCGCAGAUAAUAUAAACGUUUUCUGUUCAAGAAAUGUUGCACUUAAAGGUUUCUCAACUUGUAAUCAUAAUGCCUCCAAUAUAGAAGUUGCUUGAGAGCCAAAUUUUUGCAAUAGGAUUCCAGGAUUUCUGUGAAUUUCAUGUUUACUAAGUGAAAUUUUGUCACUAACCACAUGGCUACAAUAGGGUGGACUUAACUGCCCCAGUGAUUAAAUACAUAGUUUGAUUUUGAGUUUUUAAAAUUUACAAAUACAGUGAAACCUCUCGGGAACACUUGUGUUGGCGUUAUGAAAAUCGGAUCAAUGAAUAAAAUUCACCUUCAAUAAAAAUCACCCUUACUGAACUAAUUAUGAGCAAAAACAAAAUUACCAAUUAUGAAUGAUAGAACUAUUUUUAAUAAAUAAGCAAUUAUGUC
Parasteatoda tepidariorum (common house spider) is the source of this 787-nucleotide non-coding RNA. The record is from RefSeq and is a predicted model, not a curated record. Lineage: Eukaryota; Metazoa; Arthropoda; Arachnida; Araneae; Theridiidae.